AGAGCGAACGCUGGCGGCAGGCCUAACACAUGCAAGUCGAGCGCCCGUAGCAAUACGGGAGCGGCAGACGGGAUAGUAACACGUGGGAACGCGCCCUUCGGUUCGGAAUAACUCAGGGAAACUUGAGCUAAUACCGGAUACGCCCUUACGGGGAAAGAUUUAUUGCCGAAGGAACGGCCCGCGUCCGAUUAGCUAGUUGGUGAGGUAAUGGCUCACCAGGGCGACGAUCGGUAGCUGGUCUGAGAGGAUGACCAGCAUCACUGGGACUGAGACACGGCCCAGACUCCUACGGGAGGCAGCAGUGGGGAAUAUUGGACAAUGGGCGCAAGCCUGAUCCAGCCAUGCCGCGUGGAUGAUGAAGGCCUUAGGGUUGUAAAGUCCUUUUAACGGGAAGAUAAUGACGGUACCCGUAGAAUAAGCCCCGGCUAACUUCGUGCCAGCAGCCGC
Molecule: ribosomal RNA, 447 nt
Filed under: uncultured bacterium
Lineage: Bacteria
Description: SSU rRNA
Rfam family: Bacterial small subunit ribosomal RNA
Source: RNAcentral